UUACUCUGGUUUCCCUUCAAAUCACGUUUAAAUCUUUCGCCUUUUACUAAAGAUUUCCGUGGAGGGGGACAAUUGAUGAGUCUUAUACAAUAAUUUUUUGCUGUACCCAACGUAAGUUGGGUCG
RNAcentral lists this small nuclear RNA (124 nucleotides) under Dufourea novaeangliae. RNAcentral's name for it is "U5 spliceosomal RNA". It matches the Rfam family "U5 spliceosomal RNA". Rfam says of the family: U5 RNA is a component of both types of known spliceosome. The precise function of this molecule is unknown, though it is known that the 5' loop is required for splice site selection and p220 binding, and that both the 3' stem-loop and the Sm site are important for Sm protein binding and cap methylation. Lineage: Eukaryota; Metazoa; Arthropoda; Insecta; Hymenoptera; Halictidae. The record is from Rfam by way of RNAcentral.